GGUCUGGUAGUUUAGUUGGUUAGAAUGCUGCCCUGUCACGGCGGAGGUCGUGGGUUCGAGUCCCAUCCAGACCGC
This 75-nucleotide transfer RNA is filed under the name Bacteroidota bacterium. RNAcentral describes it as "tRNA-Asp". It matches the Rfam family "tRNA". Rfam says of the family: Transfer RNA (tRNA) molecules are approximately 80 nucleotides in length. Their secondary structure includes four short double-helical elements and three loops (D, anti-codon, and T loops). Further hydrogen bonds mediate the characteristic L-shaped molecular structure. tRNAs have two regions of fundamental functional importance: the anti-codon, which is responsible for specific mRNA codon recognition, and the 3' end, to which the tRNAs corresponding amino acid is attached (by aminoacyl-tRNA synthetases). tRNAs cope with the degeneracy of the genetic code in two manners: having more than one tRNA (with a specific anti-codon) for a particular amino acid; and 'wobble' base-pairing, i.e. permitting non-standard base-pairing at the 3rd anti-codon position. The record is from RNAcentral. Lineage: Bacteria; Pseudomonadati; Bacteroidota.